UGUCUGACCUUCUGUGGGAAAAAAUGGGCAAACGUAAAAUGAAAAUCACAACCAGUCAAGAUGGACUGCACAGUGUUGGAAUGGAAAAUGCUGUUGCUGGUGAUGGGGAGCCUUGUGAAUUUGGCUGCAAGCACCCACCUGCUCAGGUAAGACUUUUGACCUUUUACCCAGACUUUGACCUGGUUGGCUGUAGCCCGUAGUAACACAUGGGAUGUGCAUGACAUCACCCCUGUCAAGAUGUUUGCCAUUCUUGUCUGUCCAGUAGAUGUAUGUUUGUCUGAGCUUCUUCUUUCUAAAAGGAAUGUUUGAAUUGUCCAAAUGUUAUUGAAAUACCAGUUUUUCAAGUUCACAGUAUGUUCAUGUGUACUCUGUGAUACUGUGCACCGUACCUGUCAACAGCUUAGAAGUAUUUUAGUCAAACUGCUUAUGUUAUAGAGAUGUAAGAAGCUCUGCUGAAGUGAGAUCAGAUCAUUGUAAAAACUGUCAGCCUUCCUUACUGUUUCAUCAAAGAUCAUUUACAUAGAUGAUUUUGUCUUCUUCUCUCCUAAAAAAAUGAAAAUCCACCAACUGCAACCAUUAGGAAGAAAAUUCCAGUGAUUAUGUAUUAUAUUAGCCCCUUGUUUUUACCUCUUCUGUCUGUUGUAUGGUCUGGUAGUUUUGAAUCCUAAGGUGUUUGGGGUAUAGAGGUUACCUCUCUGACACAGUAUGUACCUCACAUGGUUUGAACCAGAGUCAGUGUGACUGAUGAUUUUUUAUUAGGCCAGAAAUAAGUGUUCUGCUACAUUUACUGACCCUCACAUUUAAAAAUGUCUGCCUCAUUAGAAGUUGUCUUCUGUUUUCUGUUUGUGCUGGCCUGAACAUUAUGAGCUGUCAGACAGCUCUGCAGUGUUGGAUUAAAUUCGUGACGUGUUAACUUC
This is a long non-coding RNA of Lates calcarifer (barramundi perch), 917 nucleotides long. RefSeq lists it as uncharacterized. The record is from RefSeq and is a predicted model, not a curated record. NCBI's taxonomy places the organism in Eukaryota, Metazoa, Chordata, Actinopteri, Centropomidae. The transcript has 2 exons.